AGAGCCGGCCAGGCAGUCGCUCGCAGGGUUCUGCAGUAAAACGCAGGAACGUGCGGGAGGAAAGUCCGGGCUCCAGAGGACAGGACGCCAGGUAACGCCUGGGGGAUGCGAGUCCACGGAAAGUGCAACAGAGAGCAGACCGCCCAAGUCGACGGUGAAAACCGCCGACCGGCAAGGGUGAAACGGUGCGGUAAGAGCGCACCGCGCACAUGGCAACAUCGUGCGGCAUGGCAAACCCCGUCCGGAGCAAGACCAAAUAGGGAUUCCAUGACGUGGUCCGCGUCGAAUCCGGGUAGGUCGCUGGAAGGUGGUGGUGACACCACUUCAAGAGGAAUGGCUGCCUCCUGGCCCGUGCCAGAAGACAGAACCCGGCUUAUCGGCCGGCUCUUCGC
This 392-nucleotide RNase P RNA is filed under the name Gammaproteobacteria bacterium. Its description in RNAcentral is "RNase P RNA component class A". It matches the Rfam family "Bacterial RNase P class A". From Rfam's summary of the family: Ribonuclease P (RNase P) is a ubiquitous endoribonuclease, found in archaea, bacteria and eukarya as well as chloroplasts and mitochondria. Its best characterised activity is the generation of mature 5'-ends of tRNAs by cleaving the 5'-leader elements of precursor-tRNAs. Cellular RNase Ps are ribonucleoproteins. The record is from RNAcentral. Lineage: Bacteria; Pseudomonadati; Pseudomonadota; Gammaproteobacteria.